Molecule: transfer RNA, 77 nt
Filed under: Helicobacter sp. 13S00482-2
Lineage: Bacteria; Pseudomonadati; Campylobacterota; Epsilonproteobacteria; Campylobacterales; Helicobacteraceae
Description: tRNA-Met
Rfam family: tRNA
About the family: Transfer RNA (tRNA) molecules are approximately 80 nucleotides in length. Their secondary structure includes four short double-helical elements and three loops (D, anti-codon, and T loops).
Source: RNAcentral
CGCGGGGUAGAGCAGUCCGGUAGCUCGUUGGGCUCAUAACCCAAAGGUCGUAGGUUCAAAUCCUACUCCCGCAACCA